Molecule: long non-coding RNA, 585 nt
Organism: Homo sapiens (human)
Lineage: Eukaryota; Metazoa; Chordata; Mammalia; Primates; Hominidae
Exons: 3
Source: RefSeq, a predicted model, not a curated record
UGUGGUUGAAAAACAACACAAUCUCACAUUUCCAAAAUAGUCAGUUUGUAUUUUUACUUUUUGAAGUAUCAUACAGUCAGAAGAGAAACUAGGGGAUAUCUCUUUUAUUUCUUUAGCUCCUUCAAAAAGACCUUUGGUCACUUUGAUGGUUAAGCUGUUUGAAUGCUGCAGAACCUUGACUCACCACGUUUACUGGAGGAGCCACGAAUCCAUGAUGAGGAAGGCAAGUUGCCUUUACUCUCACAGUCAGACUCCCUGGAAAGCGGUUCUGAGACAGAGAUUGGCAUUCAAGGAGUGAAUGGGGGAGUGGCAGAGGGCUCCUUGUGUCAACCACUGAAGGGAAAUGAAGCCCUCAGCACUGACUAGUCAUUGGCUGUGGACUGCCCCAGGAAGGAGGUAAGAUGUCAUACCCGCAGCUCUCUUCAGCUGAGGGUGAAACUUGGAAGGAAGGAUUCGCCUGUGAGCCAUCAACUGUCAGCAUUCCCAGAAGCUGAGAAGUAAGUUCUUUAGUCCUGAAAAGGGUAAGGAAAUCUAGUUGGAAUACCAUAGUGUCUUCUAAAGGACUGAGUGAAGAAUAUGGUUGAA